Long non-coding RNA from Oncorhynchus nerka (sockeye salmon), 466 nucleotides. RefSeq lists it as uncharacterized. The transcript is spliced from 3 exons. The record is from RefSeq and is a predicted model, not a curated record. Lineage: Eukaryota; Metazoa; Chordata; Actinopteri; Salmoniformes; Salmonidae.
UAUUUAUAAAUCAGUCAGCCAGUCGCCGUUUACCCACAAUGCAGCAUGGAUUUGAUGCUCUCGAACACGGCCAGGGGUUUCGUAGAAGACAUGAAGGCUACGCUGCUACGCCUUCCUCUCCUCUGAAGACCCAGUGAGGGUGGAGCUCAGUCAGAGAGCUGUUGAGGGACUGGUUAGGAAGAACACUUCUACAGCCAGAGAGGGGCAGUCAAGAAAUGGAACAGCAAGGCCACAGAACAUGACAUAAGCAGAGCUGUGGGAGACCACCUCAAGCCCCUGGUAGAGCAGGGGGUGGUGUUUACCACUCCACCACACCUUCAGCAGGCUGGAAAAUUAACCCUGAUAUUUUAAAAGCAGGGCAACAACGUCAAUAUAAUUGUACCCAAAAAUUGUCAGUUGGUUGCAUAAAUAAUUAUGAUUACUAAAUGUUACAUGAAAUGUAAAUAUUAAAUAUUCGGUUACAGUC